GAUGAACGCUGGCGGCGUGCCUAAUACAUGCAAGUCGAGCGAACAGACGAGGAGCUUGCUCCUCUGACGUUAGCGGCGGACGGGUGAGUAACACGUGGAUAACCUACCUAUAAGACUGGGAUAACUUCGGGAAACCGGAGCUAAUACCGGAUAAUAUAUUGAACCGCAUGGUUCAAUAGUGAAAGACGGUUUUGCUGUCACUUAUAGAUGGAUCCGCGCCGCAUUAGCUAGUUGGUAAGGUAACGGCUUACCAAGGCAACGAUGCGUAGCCGACCUGAGAGGGUGAUCGGCCACACUGGAACUGGGACACGGUCCGGACUCCUACGGGAGGCAGCAGUAGGGAAUCUUCCGCAAUGGGCGAAAGCCUGACGGAGCAACGCCGCGUGAGAGAUGAAGGUCUUCGGAUCGUAAAACUCUGUUAUUAGGGAAGAACAAAUGUGUAAGUAACUAUGCACGUCUUGACGGUACCUAAUCAGAAAGCCACGGCUAACUACGUG
This 497-nucleotide ribosomal RNA is filed under the name uncultured bacterium. Its description in RNAcentral is "partial 16S ribosomal RNA". It matches the Rfam family "Bacterial small subunit ribosomal RNA", at positions 28 to 507 of the family's 1533-position model. The record is from RNAcentral.